Molecule: ribosomal RNA, 412 nt
Filed under: uncultured bacterium
Lineage: Bacteria
Description: bacterial SSU rRNA
Rfam family: Bacterial small subunit ribosomal RNA
Source: RNAcentral
UCAUACAGGGGAAUAACAGUUAGAAAUGGCUGCUAAUGCCGCAUAAGCGCACAGGACCGCAUGGUCUGGUGUGAAAAACUCCGGUGGUAUGAGAUGGACCCGCGUCUGAUUAGGUAGUUGGCGGGGUAACGGCCCACCAAGCCGACGAUCAGUAGCCGACCUGAGAGGGUGACCGGCCACAUUGGGACUGAGACACGGCCCAGACUCCUACGGGAGGCAGCAGUGGGGAAUAUUGCACAAUGGAGGAAACUCUGAUGCAGCGACGCCGCGUGAAGGAAGAAGUAUCUCGGUAUGUAAACUUCUAUCAGCAGGGAAGAAAAUGACGGUACCUGACUAAGAAGCCCCGGCUAACUACGUGCCAGCAGCCGCGGUAAUACGUAGGGGGCAAGCGUUAUCCGGAUUUACUGGGUGU